AAGACUAUUAGGUUUAAUACCUACAAUUCAAACAUAAACUCACCAAUAACUAAAUCUCUCCGAGGAGGCAUUUUUAAUGGAAGACAUGAGAAAUGGAACACAUGGAAGACAUGAGGAAUGGGUGUGUCAGUGUUUCUCCAUCUUCAUCUCCACCGACACCUCCAUCACCCCUCCCCAUUAGUGUAGGACCUGGCAACCAAAAGUACUCCUUCUCCCCUUCUCCUUCACCUUCUCCACCCUUUUCACCGCCUCCUUCAAGCCACACAUCUGCUGAAAACCUCCCACUUUUGUCUAAUAAAUUAGCUACUACUACAAACGUGAAGUCUGCAUUUUCAUUGGACCUUCCGCAUCUUGAUCAAACGGAUUCUACGAGCUCAUGCCUUCAGGACUUGCUAGAAUGGUUUUUACAGA
RNAcentral lists this unclassified non-coding RNA (411 nucleotides) under Hevea brasiliensis (rubber tree). Lineage: Eukaryota; Viridiplantae; Streptophyta; Magnoliopsida; Malpighiales; Euphorbiaceae. The record is from RNAcentral.